Long non-coding RNA from Syzygium oleosum, 463 nucleotides. RefSeq lists it as uncharacterized. The record is from RefSeq and is a predicted model, not a curated record. The transcript has 2 exons. Lineage: Eukaryota; Viridiplantae; Streptophyta; Magnoliopsida; Myrtales; Myrtaceae.
AUACUUUGUUUAAUCCCUUUUAAUAUAGUAUAUUUGGGAUUUUGUGGGAGACUUGUAGAAGAAAAGAUCACGAGGAAGGUCAACAUGGAGGGAAAAUGCAUUCAAAAUGUUUCAUCUCAAGACUUGAAUGAUUCUGACACUAGUGAAGCUCCCCUUGAGGUUGAGUUUGAUCAGGAGCAGGAAGAAGAGGCAAGUCGUGAUUGGCCUGAACAAGAUCAGAGUGGAGAUUAAGAAGGCAAAGCGCAGCAACAGCGGCAAUAGCCGUUCCUUGAAGCGGAGGGUCUUGGCCUAGGGAAGAGAAGCGUUGAUGCAGAGAUUGAUGGGGUUGAUAUUGUUAAGUGUUGAGUUGAAUAUUUUUGUUUGGUGGGAAGCCAACCCCUGGAUGUUGAGAUGUUUUAGUGCGUUAUUCAAAUUGACCAAAUGUAAAGACUAAGUUUAAUUUCAAUGGACUUUAUUUUGUCUA